AGUGAACGCUGGCGGUAGGCCUAACACAUGCAAGUCGAACGGCAGCACAGUAAGAGCCUGCUCUUACGGGUGGCGAGUGGCGGACGGGUGAGGAAUACAUCGGAAUCUACUUUUUCGUGGGGGAUAACGUAGGGAAACUUACGCUAAUACCGCAUACGACCUACGGGUGAAAGCAGGGGAUCUUCGGACCUUGCGCGAUUGAAUGAGCCGAUGUCGGAUUAGCUAGUUGGCGGGGUAAAGGCCCACCAAGGCGACGAUCCGUAGCUGGCCUGAGAGGAUGAUCAGCCACACUGGAACUGAGACACGGUCCAGACUCCUACGGGAGGCAGCAGUGGGGAAUAUUGGACAAUGGGCGCAAGCCUGAUCCAGCCAUACCGCGUGGGUGAAGAAGGCCUUCGGGUUGUAAAGCCCUUUUGUUGGGAAAGAAAAGCAGCAGGUUAAUACCCCGCUGUUCUGACGGUACCCAAAGAAUAAGCACCGGCUAACUUCGUG
RNAcentral lists this ribosomal RNA (492 nucleotides) under uncultured bacterium. Its description in RNAcentral is "partial 16S ribosomal RNA". It matches the Rfam family "Bacterial small subunit ribosomal RNA", at positions 29 to 507 of the family's 1533-position model. The record is from RNAcentral.